Molecule: ribosomal RNA, 227 nt
Filed under: uncultured bacterium
Lineage: Bacteria
Description: partial 16S ribosomal RNA
Rfam family: Bacterial small subunit ribosomal RNA
Source: RNAcentral
CUGAACCAGCCAAGUAGCGUGAAGGAUGACUGCCCUAUGGGUUGUAAACUUCUUUUAUAUUAGAAUAAAGUGCAGUAUGUAUACUGUUUUGUAUGUAUAAUAUGAAUAAGGAUCGGCUAACUCCGUGCCAGCAACCGCGGUAAUACGGAGGAUCCGAGCGUUAUCCGGAUUUAUUGGGUUUAAAGGGAGCGUAGGUGGACUGGUAAGUCAGUUGUGAAAGUUUGCGG